Lytechinus pictus (painted urchin) is the source of this 805-nucleotide long non-coding RNA. RefSeq lists it as uncharacterized. The record is from RefSeq and is a predicted model, not a curated record. The transcript has 2 exons. Lineage: Eukaryota; Metazoa; Echinodermata; Echinoidea; Temnopleuroida; Toxopneustidae.
GGACCAUUUUAUGAUUUUUACUGAGGGAACACGCAGACCCUCACUGAGAAGGAUUUCUUCUAGUUUUAUUUUGCCAGCUUCAAGCUAUUUACUGGCAGUUGGUUAUUAUUUCUACAUUCCAGAAAUCAAGUGUGGCUCCUAUUUCAUGGAAAGACUGAUCCACGUCCGAUUCCAUGUCAUUCAUUCUGAAGGGGGCGCUAUUCACGCUAUUUAUUCUGAGUGAACUACUCUACGUGAUUGUGAUCUCGGAUCUGCUUUGUGACCCCAAUCUGGGUGAGGGGGAGGUGAUACGAGCGUUCCAUUCUGCGAUACAUGGAUUCAUAGACAGUCCAUCGAUGACGAUUAAGUGAUCAACGAUCAACGUUUGUUCGAUGUCAGUAAGUCUUUUCGACCGGUAAGCGGAUAUCGUUUUCAAGGAACAUCUAUAUGCUCUACGUUGGUGUUUACUCACUACGGAACUUUACUCGAUGAGCAUCGCUCUGAUUCCGAAAUCGCAUAUGCCAAAGACAAUGAUUGAACUGGACUAAAACAAGCUAUUUCCACCUGAAAUAAUUGUAUAUGAGCUCAAAGGUCAUGCCGGUCCGGUUUUGAUAUUAAUAAUCCUUUUUCCAAAAUUUACAUAUCAAAGUGUAAUCUGUCACUCUAGGGGUUUUAGUCUUUGUAUUUCAUAUUCAUUUCACUUGUAGUUAUGAAUGAUGUACUUCGACUAGAGUUAAAGGAAUUUACAAAGAGGAGUGAUUGACUGUAAACCUUGAAAAGGUGAUAGUUUGAAUAUUCUGUUAAUAAAGCUAAACUUAAAUUUAAA